RNAcentral lists this ribosomal RNA (1241 nucleotides) under metagenome. RNAcentral describes it as "bacterial LSU rRNA". It matches the Rfam family "Bacterial large subunit ribosomal RNA", at positions 1669 to 2925 of the family's 2925-position model. The record is from RNAcentral.
CUAUGAGUAUUCUCAGGCGCUCGGGUGAUGAGUUGUUAAGGAACUAGGCAAAUUAACCCCGUAACUUCGGGAGAAGGGGUGCCCAUGCAAAUGGGCCGCAGUGAAUAGCGUCAGGCGACUGUUUAACAAAAACACAGGUCUCUGCUAAGUCGAAAACGAUGUAUAGGGGCUGACGCCUGCCCGGUGCCGGAAGGUUAAAGGGAGUGGUUAGCGCAAGCGAAGCUACGAACUGAAGCCCCGGUGAACGGCGGCCGUAACAAUAACGGUCCUAAGGUAGCAAAAUUCCUUGUCGGGUAAGUUCCGACCUGCACGAAUGGCGUAACGAUCUGACGACUGUCUCAACAACUCGCCCGGCGAAUUUGUGGUUCCGGUGAAGACGCCGGAUGCCCGCCACAAGACGGAAAGACCCCGUGCACCUUUACUAUACCCUAUCAGUGAAUUAUGGGUUGGACUGCGCAGGAUAGGUGGGAGGCUUUGAGAUCGGGUUUUUGGACUCGAUGGAGCCAACGGUGAGAUACCACCCUGUGUAAUCUGUGAUUCUAACCUGCUUCCAUGAUCUGGAAGAGGGACACUGGUAGGCGGGUAGUUUGACUAGGGCGGUCGCCUCCUAAAUUGUAACGGAGGCGCUCGAAGCUGCGUUCAGGUGGUUUGGAAAUCCACCGACGAGUGCAAAGGCAUAAACGCGGUUAACUGCGAGACCUACAAGUCAAGCAGGUGGGAAACCAGGACUUAGUGAUCCGGUGGUUCUGUAUGGAAGGGCCAUCGCUCAACGGAUAAAAGGUACGCCGGGGAUAACAGGCUGAUCGGAGUCAAGAGUUCACAUCGACGCUCCGGUUUGGCACCUCGAUGUCGGUUCAUCGCAUCCCGGGGGUGUAGAAGCUCCCAAGGGUUAGGCUGUUCGCCUAUUAAAGCGGUACGUGAACUGGGUUCAGAACGUCGCGAGACAGUUCGGUCCCUAUCUGUGGUGGGCGCAGGAAAUUUGAGGGGGCUUGGCCUUAGUACGAGAGGACCGGGCUGAACGAACCUCUUGUGAUACAGUUGUCACUCCAGUGGCACAGCUGUGUAGCGAAGUUCGGUUAGGAUAAGCGCUGAAUGCAUAUAAGUGCGAAACCUUCCCCAAGAUGAGAUUUCCCAACCGUAAGGUAAUAAGGGCCGUGGAAGACUACCACGUUGAUAGGACGGGUGUGUAAGAGUAGUAAUACUUUGAGCUAACCGUUACUAAUAGCCCUUUCGGCUUGACC